This is a non-coding RNA of Nicotiana tabacum (common tobacco), 685 nucleotides long. NCBI's taxonomy places the organism in Eukaryota, Viridiplantae, Streptophyta, Magnoliopsida, Solanales, Solanaceae. The record is from RefSeq and is a predicted model, not a curated record.
AUCAUUCUCUUCAUCAUCACUCACUCACACUCUCUAUCCCUUUCAUAUAUUUCUCUCCUAUCCCCUCCUUAAAGAAAGGCGAGACUUUUGGGGGAUAAGGAACCAAAAGAGAUCUUGAGAGAGAAAGAGAGAGUAUCACAAACACAACACAUCUAAUGAGAUUAUUAUCGAAGGAAAAAGGAAGCUUUUCUAUUGUGGGGAAUGUUGUUUGGCUCGAGGAUUCAAUUUCUUACUUUCUUUUAUAGAUCUGUAUAUAUGGAUCUAUAAUAUAGGAUUAUGUCUUUGGUAUCGUCGGACCAGGCUUCAUUCCCCUCAAAGAUUGCUACCGUAAUCCUUGCUCACUCGUCAGACAUUUUCGCGAUCUCAAAUAUUUUUGUGUAUUCAGUGCUAGAUGUGAUGGAUUUCGUUCUAGCUAGUGCUUGAAAACAGUGGCGGAGUCGGGAUUUUCAGGAAUGAGGUUCAAAUUUUCUCUUUUUUGUAACUAGUGGUAAUUGAAUCUAUAAUCUUACGAAGAUUUUGAACCCCCUGAUCACUAAACUACACUUUUGGGUUGUGCUAAGGGGGUUCAAAACUUAAUAUAUAGACGUAAAAAACAGAUUUUGCCUUAUAUAUACAGUGUAAUAUUUUGGCGAGACCCCUAAAUCCGCCACUGCUUGAAAAUAAUAUUUCAAAGUUUGUAUGUUCU